Molecule: non-coding RNA, 91 nt
Filed under: pig gut metagenome
Description: Glycine riboswitch
Rfam family: Glycine riboswitch aptamer
About the family: This family represents the bacterial glycine riboswitch. Glycine riboswitches usually consist of two metabolite-binding aptamers domains with similar structures in tandem.
Source: RNAcentral
AAUCUCUGGAGAAGCUCAUCGCGAAAUGCGUAUGAGUGCCGAAGGUGUAAGGUCACGGAUUGACCGAUCUCUCAGGCAAAAGGACAGGGUG